Molecule: ribosomal RNA, 433 nt
Filed under: uncultured bacterium
Lineage: Bacteria
Description: partial 16S ribosomal RNA
Rfam family: Bacterial small subunit ribosomal RNA
Source: RNAcentral
AACGAACGCUGGCGGCAUGCCUAACACAUGCAAGUCGAACGAGACCUCCGGGUCUAGUGGCGCACGGGUGCGUAACGCGUGGGAACCUGCCCUUAGGUUCGGAAUAACUCCCCGAAAGGGGUCUUAAUACCGGUUAAUCUCUUCGGACCAAAGAUUUAUCGCUUUUGGAUGGGCCCGCGUUGGAUUGGCCAGUUGGUAGUGUAAAAGCAUACCAACGCGACGUUGCAUGGCUGGUGUGAGAGGAUGCUACACCACACUGGGACUGCGACACGGCCCAGACUCGUACGGAGGGGAGGAGUGGGGAGUAUAAUGGGAGGAGCGAAAACCUAAUCAAGCCGUGCCGGGUGAGAGAUGAAUGGCUUAGGGUUGUAAAGCUCUUUUACACGAGAUGUGAGUGACAGUACCGGGAGAAGAAGCUCCGGCUAACUACGUG